This 264-nucleotide unclassified non-coding RNA is filed under the name fungal sp. RNAcentral describes it as "partial internal transcribed spacer region". The stretch from base 1 to 46 matches the Rfam family "Eukaryotic small subunit ribosomal RNA", at positions 1786 to 1831 of the family's 1831-position model. Lineage: Eukaryota; Fungi. The record is from RNAcentral.
AAGUCGUAACAAGGUUUCCGUAGGUGAACCUGCGGAAGGAUCAUUAUUAUUUGGGUUGGGUUUACUUUUCAAAAAAUCGUUCUCUAAUUUUUCAAAAAGUAAAUCUGCACCAAAUAAAGUUAGUGAAAACUGAACUUUAUUUUCUCGCCCUAUUUAUAGGGAGGAGCAAGAUGAACUUUAUUUAAAACCAUCCACUCUUAAAAAAAAUAUCUUAUAAUAUAUAUAUAAUUAAGAUCACUUUCAACAACGGAUCUCUUGGCUCUC